UUGAACGCUGGCGGCAGGCCUAACACAUGCAAGUCGAGCGGAUGAAGGGAGCUUGCUCCUGGCUUCAGCGGCGGACGGGUGAGUAAUGCCUAGGAAUCUGCCUGGUAGUGGGGGAUAACGUCCGGAAACGGGCGCUAAUACCGCAUACGUCCUGAGGGAGAAAGUGGGGGAUCUUCGGACCUCACGCUAUCAGAUGAGCCUAGGUCGGAUUAGCUAGUUGGUGGGGUAAAGGCCUACCAAGGCGACGAUCCGUAACUGGUCUGAGAGGAUGAUCAGGCACACUGGAACUGAGACACGGUCCAGACUCCUACGGGAGGCAGCAGUGGGGAAUAUUGGACAAUGGGCGAAAGCCUGAUCCAGCCAUGCCGCGUGUGUGAAGAAGGUCUUCGGAUUGUAAAGCACUUUAAGUUGGGAGGAAGGGCAGUAAGUUAAUACCUUGCUGUUUUGACGUUACCAACAGAAUAAGCACCGGCUAACUUCGUG
This 483-nucleotide ribosomal RNA is filed under the name uncultured bacterium. Its description in RNAcentral is "partial 16S ribosomal RNA". It matches the Rfam family "Bacterial small subunit ribosomal RNA", at positions 30 to 507 of the family's 1533-position model. The record is from RNAcentral.